RNAcentral lists this long non-coding RNA (267 nucleotides) under Ananas comosus (pineapple). RNAcentral describes it as "long non-coding RNA (ACOM_LNC034449)". Lineage: Eukaryota; Viridiplantae; Streptophyta; Magnoliopsida; Poales; Bromeliaceae. The record is from RNAcentral.
UGAUUAUAUAUCAUGACUGUGCAGCAGAGGCACAUUGACCCUAGUAGACAGGGUAUCCUCUUGAGAGGAUUGGAUCAUACUCACUAGUCUGUUUUGCUUGUCGGUGGUCGCUCCACCGAAGCACGAGUCUCCGGAGUACUUCACUAGGGGCAGACGUAGUUGUCCCGCAGACGGUCUCGGUGUGCGAGUGCAGCUUCUCCUCACCUAUGAGAUUGAGAGUGAGUCGAGGGUUAACGUACGGGUCAACCAAUUAGAUUGGGUAAUAAA